Lytechinus variegatus (green sea urchin) is the source of this 187-nucleotide long non-coding RNA. RefSeq lists it as uncharacterized. The transcript is spliced from 2 exons. NCBI's taxonomy places the organism in Eukaryota, Metazoa, Echinodermata, Echinoidea, Temnopleuroida, Toxopneustidae. The record is from RefSeq and is a predicted model, not a curated record.
GUUGUGAUCGAUUCAUCAUAUAAUAGAUAUCGCUUAUUUGGGUAACUGUUUUGAAGCAUGAUAGCACAGUUUGAGACUAGAUUUAUUUGCAUGUGCUUAUUAUUCUUGCAAUUUAUAUCUUUGUCAUGCAGUUUUCACGGAGUUGAACGACAUGGAAACAAACAAUAAUAAACGCUAGACAACUUCA